This 71-nucleotide transfer RNA is filed under the name Loxodonta africana (African savanna elephant). It matches the Rfam family "tRNA". Rfam says of the family: Transfer RNA (tRNA) molecules are approximately 80 nucleotides in length. Their secondary structure includes four short double-helical elements and three loops (D, anti-codon, and T loops). Lineage: Eukaryota; Metazoa; Chordata; Mammalia; Proboscidea; Elephantidae. The record is from Rfam by way of RNAcentral.
GCAGUGAUGGUUCAGAGGCAGAAUUCUUGCCUUCCAUGUGGGAGACUUGGGUUUGAUUCCCAGACAAUGUA